UCAGUCGACUCCUACGGGGAGGCAGCAGUGGGGGAAUAGUUGCACAACUGGGCGCAAGCCUGAUGCAGCCAUGCCGCGUGUAUGAAGAAGGCCUUCGGGUUGUAAAGUACUUUCAGCAGUGAGGAAGGUGGAUAUGUUAAUAGCAUAUUCAUUUGACGUUAGCUGCAGAAGAAGCACCGGCUAACUCCGUGCCAGCAGCCGCGGUAAUACGGAGGGUGCGAGCGUUAAUCGGAAUUACUGGGCGUAAAGCGCAUGCAGGUGGUUUGUUAAGUCAGAUGUGAAAGCCCGGGGCGUCAACCUACGGAAUUGCAUUUGAAACUGGCAAACUAGAGUACUGUAGAGGGGGGUAGGAAUUUCAGGUGUAGCGGUGAAAUGCGUAGAGAUCUGAAGGAAUACCGGUGGCGAAGGCGGCCCCCUGGACAGAUACUGACACUCAGAUGCGAAAGCGUGGGGAGCAAACAGGAUUAGAUACCCUGGUAG
This 480-nucleotide ribosomal RNA is filed under the name uncultured bacterium. Its description in RNAcentral is "bacterial SSU rRNA". It matches the Rfam family "Bacterial small subunit ribosomal RNA", at positions 328 to 793 of the family's 1533-position model. The record is from RNAcentral.